GCUGAGCUGAAGUAGGUCCCAAGGGUAUGGCUGUUCGCCAUUUAAAGUGGUACGCGAGCUGGGUUUAGAACGUCGUGAGACAGUUCGGUCCCUAUCUGCCGUGGGCGCUGGAGAAUUGAGGGGGGCUGCUCCUAGUACGAGAGGACCGGAGUGGACGCAUCACUGGUGUUCGGGUUGUCAUGCCAAUGGCACUGCCCGGUAGCUAAAUGCGGAAGAGAUAAGUGCUGAAAGCAUCUAAGCACGAAACUUGCCCCGAGAUGAGUUCUCCCUGAGACUUUAAGUCUCCUGAAGGAACGUURAAGACGAYGACGUUGAUAGGUCGGGUGUGUAAGCGCAGCGAUGCGUUGAGCUAACCGAUACUAAUGAACCGUGAGGCUUAACCUU
This 384-nucleotide ribosomal RNA is filed under the name Enterobacter hormaechei. Its description in RNAcentral is "partial 23S ribosomal RNA". Lineage: Bacteria; Pseudomonadati; Pseudomonadota; Gammaproteobacteria; Enterobacterales; Enterobacteriaceae. The record is from RNAcentral.